AAGACUAUAGACCUGCGGAGUACCUGCGGAAGGAUCAUUUUUGGAUUCUCUUAAUAGUGCCGACAACAUUCUUGUUGUCGACCAGCAAACAACAACACCUGUGAUAACACAGCAACGUGUCUGAUAACCAUUAUAUAAUACAAACAACUUUCAGCAAUGGAUCUCU
RNAcentral lists this unclassified non-coding RNA (166 nucleotides) under soil metagenome. Its description in RNAcentral is "partial contains 5.8S ribosomal RNA, internal transcribed spacer 2, and large subunit ribosomal RNA". The record is from RNAcentral.